RNAcentral lists this long non-coding RNA (472 nucleotides) under Rattus norvegicus (Norway rat). RNAcentral describes it as "long non-coding RNA NONRATT005303". Lineage: Eukaryota; Metazoa; Chordata; Mammalia; Rodentia; Muridae. The record is from RNAcentral.
GCAAGAUCUCCUGCCGAGUGCCCCAACCCCUACAUCCUAAUCAGAGGCAGGCAGGCAGGCAGGCAGGGUGUGGCUAGGCUGGGCUGGGCAGUUUAGGGGAAGGGUGUGGUUCCUUAGUGUCCCCCCGCCCCCACCCUCAGAAAUAUCCCAUUCUUGAGCCUCCAACAGCGCUCUGGGACCAAAAGAGAAGUAAGGAGUAGGCAAAUCAAAGGGGUAAGCCUUAUAUGUGUCCUGAGCUUUUGGGUGGGGUCCUGGGAUGGUUCUGGGUAGCACAGGUUCUUUCAUACCCUUCCAUUCAAGACAAGAGCCUUUCCUCCCAUGUUACAGAUGAGAUCUGGAAGUGGGGAAGGGCGUGUGUGCACAUGUGUAUGUGUGAGGAGCUUACUCAGUGAGAAUCUGUGUCUCACCCAUGAUCUUCAGGUGGGAAAGAGCAAGAAAAAGGUGCUUGCUUUUGUCCCCUUCAGGGUGUGGG